RNAcentral lists this ribosomal RNA (253 nucleotides) under uncultured bacterium. RNAcentral's name for it is "partial 16S ribosomal RNA". It matches the Rfam family "Bacterial small subunit ribosomal RNA", at positions 524 to 776 of the family's 1533-position model. The record is from RNAcentral.
UACAGAGGUCUCAAGCGUUGUUCGGAUUCAUUGGGCGUAAAGGGUGCGUAGGUGGCGCUGUAAGUCAGGCGUGAAAUCCCCGAGCUCAACUUGGGAAUUGCGCUUGAAACUACGGUGCUGGAGUAUGGCAGAGGGAGGUGGAAUUCCACGUGUAGCGGUGAAAUGCGUAGAGAUGUGGAGGAACACCGAUGGCGAAGGCAGCCUCCUGGGCCAAUACUGACGCUCAUGCACGAAAGCGUGGGGAGCAAACAGG